Molecule: long non-coding RNA, 3348 nt
Filed under: Podarcis lilfordi (Lilford's wall lizard)
Lineage: Eukaryota; Metazoa; Chordata; Lepidosauria; Squamata; Lacertidae
Source: RNAcentral
UGGAUGUGCUAUACACAGACAUAACACUUCUUUGGGUUUUCUGUUCGUUAGGAUAUCAAAUAUCUUAAAUUUAAAACUCUUCAAUAUGAGCUGGAGUGUUUUCUCUUUCAUUUCAGAAGCUAAGCAAAACUGUUUCUGUAGCAUUGCACAUUUUAGGCAUGUCAUGCUUGCAAACUAGCCACUAGAAGCAAUGCUGUUUUCAAACCUUUGACAUAACAAUGUAAAUAUUACUGAGUAUUGCAGUACCUUAAAUUGCUGUUGGGAAGUGGCUGCUGUCAAACUGACUGGAUUGUGGAAAUCAAAAAGAAUGUGAUUGUUGAUGGGGGAAUUAACUUCUUCACAACCUGAUGUGGAGACUGUCAUUUGUCUUGGGAAUUUAUCGAUUGGCAAGUAAUGAUAUACAAUAGCUAUGCCUUCCAUGAGCUUAACUGGUUUUUUGUGUGCUUUUCUUUUUCUAUGAGAACUGCCUCAAAGAGGUUUUCUCAAACUGUGGGCCAGGGAUAGCCAACAGGCCUCAGAAAUGCAGCCACCCCAGUGCCUCCUUCCUCGCUUACCAUGCUCCCAACUGCCCCAGCAUCAGCUCCCUGCAAGCUCAGUGCAUAGGCAUGUGUGAGAAUGUGAGUUAAGAAAGUCAAGCUAUAGCAUGCAAGGCUGGAGGAGAGAAAACUGACAGCAGGUAGAUGGGCAAACCAACUGGGGGAGGGAGAGGGGCAAAAGGGGGGUGGGAAGCAUAGGGAAGAGAAAAAGAAGCAGCAGCCAGAGUUGCUGUGGUGCCUCCGCAUCUCCCCAGCACCACACAUGCUCAAACUCUUACCCCUUACUUCAGUCCUCCUUCCAAGUCAGGUAGUCUCUCCUGCCCAAAAUCCAAGAUGGUAGCUGGUGUCUCCACCUCAGAACUAUCUGAGUUGUGUGCUUCUGCCCAUACAGGGCUAAAGAAACAAAGGUGGACGUAUGUGAAUGUGACUGAGAAUUGGAGACUUUGGGGCUAGGGGAAGGAAAUAAAUUCUCUCUUCUCUGAAGGGAAAGCACCAAAGGGUGCACUGAAGGAAUAUAAAAAGAGAUAAUCGGUUGUUGUUUUUUGGCCGAAAUUUGUUUUAAUCGAGGAAAGGAAGCCGUUAUAAGAGGAAGAAGUGAAUGUAACAGCAGCCCGGGGAAUGGAUGAGAGAAUUUAUGAUAUGCUUUUCAGUUUAUUUUAGAAAUGAAAGGAAAUGAAUAAAAAGUACUCCGAGAUGUAUGUGGCACUGUAGCUGGGAGAGGAAUAUAAAAGGGAUUUUCUUUGUAGAAAGUAUCAGUAACUGCCAGCUGAUUAUGUUCACUUGGCCUUCAUCUGCUAUCACUUUGUGACAGAUACUAAGCUCUGCACUGCCAUUUUGUAUUUGGUGGAUUGCCAAUAUUUUUUAGCCCUUUCAAGUGAAUACUUGUUGAAGGGUUUGAAGCCCCCAGAUCUAACUAAAACAGGCUUCCUCAAACUCGGCCCUUCAGAUGUUUAUUAAGACUACAGUUCCCAUCAUCCCUUACCACUGGUCCUGCUACCUAGGGAUCAUGGGAGUUGUAUGCCAAAAACAUCUGGAAGGCCGAGUUUGAGGAAGCCUGAACUAAAAUCUCAAUAUAUAAUGCCUUUCCUCUGCCAGAAUGUGGGGUAAGUUCAUUGCAAACUUUCUAAAUUGAAAUUAAUUUUUUGAAGAAAAAAUAAACCAUUGACUGGUACUCUUGAGAACAAAAGCACUUUUGGGGGCAUAAGCCGUAUUAUGGGUGAAUUAGAUGCAUCUGUUCCAGGUCCUCUUGUGCUAGCUUCACUAAUUAUUCCUCUUUUUAAAAAGCAUUUCUUUUAUUUGUUCCCAAAAGAUACCUGAAUGAAGAAAUGAACAAAUCCAAAUUUCAAAUUUGCACCCAUUUCUUGUACAAUUUCUUGUGUGUAAAUAUGUGCAAAUAAGCUUUAUGGUUUCAAGGAAGGAGGAGCUAAGUAUUAUAUUUUGUGAUGUUUUCAGCUUUGGUGCCUCAUUUGUGUCACUGGACUCAGAAAAUGCUUUUUGCCUUCCUUCGUGACUUUUGCUUUUGUUUACCACGUCAACUAUAGCAGCAAAGGCAGAGAGAGAGAGAAAGUUUUGGCAGCUACCAUUUGGAUCACAAGCUUGUUCUCUUGGAAACUUGGUUCUCGUCCCCCCACCAUUGCUACCAUUUCUUUUAGAAGACUCUGCUGCCACAUACCUGAAGACCAUGUUGAGGUAGUGUUUGGUUUUCUUGCUUUCAAUGUUUUCAGAGUAAACUUUGAAGGUGGGGUUUGAAGGGGCUGUUUGAAGAAUGCGACCCAAGUAUCUUACAGGUGGCAUGAGAGGUACUCCCAGGCAUAGCAAAGGAGAUAUGGCAGAGUAUUAGAUAUUCUUUAGAUAGCUUAGAGUGGAUGAACUGAAGGAAGUGUCACGGGCGGAGCUAUAUUAGGAGGUGAGGGAAGAGAAAGAACUUUAAAGGCAAGAACAAGAAAUUUGUGUUGCAGCCAGUGUAGGGACUGAAGGUACUGCAUAUUCUGAGUGACAUGAGAGCAAAUUAUUUUGGUGGCUGAGUUCUAUAUAGAAGUAUUAGCUAAGAGAUAACAAAAAGGUCAGAAAGGAAAAACUAGCGUGAGAGCUAAACAUACUCCAUAAGAAGAGUAAUAGUUUCAUAACAUAUCAAGGAUGUCAGGAAUACUGACGUGAGGCAAGGUCAAGAUCUUGCUGGGGAGGCUGAAGGUGCUAUUAGAGAUAAGUUGACAAUUAGGUUAGAUUUGAAGUCUGUGUUCUAUAGCACAGAGACACUACAUAUCCACCAAGUUCUAGCAUUGGCCUGAAGCAUGGAGGAGUUCCCUUUUUGCCGCACUAGUCUCUUGUGAGAUAUUGAAAGCUGUUGAGUAAGUGAAGUGGUUCAUAGGAUCAUACCAUUGUCUCUUUGACACUUAAGACUGAUCCAUCACUUAACAACAGCUUAAUGUUCAAUAUUAUCCAUACUAAAUUUUCCAGAAACUAAUGCUGACUGUACAACUUCAAUUUAUUUUGUGUGCUUUUAUAGGAUAUAAAUAAUGACAAAAAUUACAAAAUUUAUAACUGGAAGCCCAAGCAUAUUUACAUAGUAGUAUUUGUUGCAGUGAGGCUACUAUUUACUUUUCUCCUAUACAAUAUUCCUUUUGGUACUAUAUUUUUCAGUGUUUACUGUCAGCCUACUACAUACAUAUCAACAAUUAAUAGGCAUAAUAUGUACAAGGAGCUGAUUGGUUCAAGUAAAUUGAAUACUGUAUUGAAAGGUUUUUUGUCAUUCAGCGCUAUGAUUAGGUUCAACUAAACCAUAUACAAUUUUGAAUUUUAAAGCAAGUUCAAU